AACUAUGUUACUGAUUUGUGUAUUUAUUAUACUAUUUAUCAUUUUAGAUUAUAUUCCUAAUACUUUAAAAGUUAUCAGCAUAUUACAGUGGUGUAGCCACAUCAAAGUUUAUAGCAGCUCACUUCACAAUAGCUAAACUAUGGAACCAACCUAGGUGCCCUUAACAUAUGAAUGAAUUAAAAAAAAUGUGGUGUGUGUGUGUGUGUGUGUGUGUGUGUGUGAGAGAGAGAGAGAGAGAGAGAGAGAGAGAGAAUAUAUUACUCAGCCUUAAAGAAGAAUGAAAUUAUGGUUUGCCGGUAAAUAGGUGGAGUUGGAAAAAUACCAUGCUAAGUGAAAUAAGCCAAUCCCCAAAAAUCAAAAGCCGAAUGUUUUCUUCCCUGAUAUGGGGAAGCUAAUUCACAAUAUGGGGGGAGGGACUAGGGAAAAAUAGAGUUACUUUAGGUAGAAGGAGG
This 452-nucleotide long non-coding RNA is filed under the name Marmota monax (woodchuck). The record is from RNAcentral. Lineage: Eukaryota; Metazoa; Chordata; Mammalia; Rodentia; Sciuridae.